CACAUUCACAGUGUCUUCUGUGUUCUGGCAAUGUACCAGGUACUGGGGAUACAGCAGUGAACAAGAAAAUCAUAGAUUAGUCCUUGUAGUACUUAGAGUCAUAUGGAGGGAAUUAGACAAUCAAAUAAUUACACAAAUGUUAGCUUGUAUUGUUAAGAAUUAAGUGCUAUGAUGAAGUAAAGGGUGCUAUGAAAGCAGACUACAGGACACUUGACCUAGUUGGGCUGUAGGAGAUGGCCAAGGAAGCCGUCCUCUGAGGAAGUGAUGGUUAAGCUGAAAUCUGAAAUAAAAACGGAGACAAACAGUUAAAGAGGUGAGGGAAGAUCAUCAAGGAGAUUCAAU
This 342-nucleotide long non-coding RNA is filed under the name Homo sapiens (human). RNAcentral's name for it is "LHRI_LNC1559.1". Lineage: Eukaryota; Metazoa; Chordata; Mammalia; Primates; Hominidae. The record is from RNAcentral.